UGGGGAAUUUUGGACAAUGGGCGCAAGCCUGAUCCAGCCAUGCCGCGUGAGUGAAGAAGGCCUUCGGGUUGUAAAGCUCUUUCGGUGGGGACGAAAAGGUUCGUGCUAAUACCACGGACUAAUGACGGUACCCGAAGAAGAAGCACCGGCUAACUACGUGCCAGCAGCCGCGGUAAUACGUAGGGUGCAGGCGUUAAUCGGAAUUACUGGGCGUAAAGCGUGCGCAGGCGGUUUGUUAAGACAGAUGUGAAAUCCCCGGGCUUAACCUGGGAACUGCGUUUGUAACUGGCAAGCUAGAGUGUGGCAGAGGGGGGUAGAAUUCCAGGUGUAGCAGUGAAAUGCGUAGAUAUCUGGAGGAAUACCGAUGGCGAAGGCAGCCCCCUGGGUUAACACUGACGCUCAUGCACGAAAGCGUGGGGAGCAAACAGGAUUAGAUACCCUGGUAGUCCACGCCCUAAACUAUGUCAACUGGUUGUCGGGGGAGCAAUCCCUUGGUAACGAAGCUAACGCGUGAAGUUGACCGCCUGGGGAGUACGGCCGCAAGGUUA
Molecule: ribosomal RNA, 548 nt
Filed under: uncultured prokaryote
Description: bacterial SSU rRNA
Rfam family: Bacterial small subunit ribosomal RNA
Source: RNAcentral